GAGAGAUGGCCGAGCGGUUGAAGGCGCUGGUCUUGAAAACCAGUGAUGCUGAAAGGCACCGGGGGUUCGAAUCCCUCUCUCUCC
This 84-nucleotide transfer RNA is filed under the name human gut metagenome. It matches the Rfam family "tRNA". From Rfam's summary of the family: Transfer RNA (tRNA) molecules are approximately 80 nucleotides in length. Their secondary structure includes four short double-helical elements and three loops (D, anti-codon, and T loops). Further hydrogen bonds mediate the characteristic L-shaped molecular structure. tRNAs have two regions of fundamental functional importance: the anti-codon, which is responsible for specific mRNA codon recognition, and the 3' end, to which the tRNAs corresponding amino acid is attached (by aminoacyl-tRNA synthetases). tRNAs cope with the degeneracy of the genetic code in two manners: having more than one tRNA (with a specific anti-codon) for a particular amino acid; and 'wobble' base-pairing, i.e. permitting non-standard base-pairing at the 3rd anti-codon position. The record is from RNAcentral. RNAcentral also lists the same sequence under 1 other name.